This 223-nucleotide ribosomal RNA is filed under the name Nostoc sp. KVJ20. RNAcentral describes it as "partial 16S ribosomal RNA". It matches the Rfam family "Bacterial small subunit ribosomal RNA", at positions 1 to 253 of the family's 1533-position model. Lineage: Bacteria; Bacillati; Cyanobacteriota; Cyanophyceae; Nostocales; Nostocaceae. The record is from RNAcentral.
AAAACGGAGAGUUUGAUCCUGGCUCAGGAUGAACGCUGGCGGUAUGCUUAACACAUGCAAGUCGAACGAAAUCUUCGGAUUUAGUGGCGGACGGGUGAGUAACGCGUGAGAAUCUGGCUUCAGGUCUGGGACAACCACUGGAAACGGUGGCUAAUACCGGAUGUGCCGAGAGGUGAAAGAUUAAUUGCCUGAAGAUGAGCUCGCGUCUGAUUAGCUAGUAGGU